AACGAACGCUGGCGGCAUGCCUAACACAUGCAAGUCGAACGAGACCUUCGGGUCUAGUGGCGCACGGGUGCGUAACGCGUGGGAACCUGCCCUUAGAUUCGGAAUAACUCCCCGAAAGGGGUGCUAAUACCGGAUAAUGUCUUCGGACCAAAGAUUUAUCGCCUUUGGAUGGGCCCGCGUUGGAUUAGCUAGUUGGUAGGGUAAAAGCCUACCAAGGCGACGAUCCAUAGCUGGUCUGAGAGGAUGAUCAGCCACACUGGGACUGAGACACGGCCCAGACUCCUACGGGAGGCAGCAGUGGGGAAUAUUGGACAAUGGGCGAAAGCCUGAUCCAGCAAUGCCGCGUGAGUGAUGAAGGCCUUAGGGUUGUAAAGCUCUUUUACCCGGGAUGAUAAUGACAGUACUGGGAGAAUAAGCUCCGGCUAACUCCGUG
This 433-nucleotide ribosomal RNA is filed under the name uncultured bacterium. RNAcentral's name for it is "partial 16S ribosomal RNA". It matches the Rfam family "Bacterial small subunit ribosomal RNA", at positions 29 to 507 of the family's 1533-position model. The record is from RNAcentral.